GUGGGCAGUCUGGUCGGGCCCUCGGACUUCAAAUC
This 35-nucleotide transfer RNA is filed under the name Pseudopedinella elastica. RNAcentral describes it as "partial Selenocysteine transfer RNA". Lineage: Eukaryota; Dictyochophyceae; Pedinellales. The record is from RNAcentral.